Molecule: long non-coding RNA, 1012 nt
Filed under: Salmo salar (Atlantic salmon)
Lineage: Eukaryota; Metazoa; Chordata; Actinopteri; Salmoniformes; Salmonidae
Description: lncRNA (ENSSSAG00000084876.1)
Source: RNAcentral
GGUUGUCUGUGGUAGGGGAGUCACAGCUCUACUGGGGUUGUCUGUGGUAGGGGAGUCACAGCUCUACUGGGGUUGUCUGUGGUAGGGGAGUCACAGCUCUACUGGAGUUGUCUGUGGUAGGGGGUAGGGGAGUCACAGCUCUACUGGGGUUGUCUGUGGUAGGGGGUAGGGGAGUCACAGCUCUACUGGGGUUGUCUGUGGUAGGGGGUAGGGGGUAGUGGAGUCACAGCUCUACUGGGGUUGUCUGUGGUAGGGGGUAGGGUAGGGGAGUCACAGCUCUACUGGGGUUGUCUGUGGUAGGGGGUAGGGUAGGGGAGUCACAGCUCUACUGGGGUUGUCUGUGGUAGCGGGUAGGGUAGGGGAGUCACAGCUCUACUGGGGUUGUCUGUGGUAGGGGAGUCACAGCUCUACUGGGGUUGUCUGUGGUAGGGGGUAAGGUAGGGGAGUAUCUUUACACCCAUCCCCAUAUGUGCCACGGAGAGCGCCACUUUGGGGGUUCCCAUAGGCAGCGUAGCAUGGAGACCAGGCUGCAUGGGGACCAGGCUGCAUGGGGACCAGGCUGCAUGGGGACCAGGCUGCAUGGGGACCAGGCUGCAUGGAGACCAGGCUGCAUGGGGAUCAGGCUGCAUGGACAUCAGGCUGCAUGGAGACCAGGCUGCAUGGAGAUCAGGCUGCAUGGAGACCAGGCUGCAUGGAGAUCAGGCUGCAUGGAGAUCAGGCUGCAUGGACAUCAGGCUGCAUGGAGACCAGGAUGCAUGGAGAUCAGGCUGCAUGGGGACCAGGCUGCAUGGAGACCAGGCUGCAUGGGCAUCAGGCUGCAUGGAGACCAGGCUGCAUGGAGAUCAGGCUGCAUGGGGACCAGGCUGCAUGGUCACUAGGCUGCAUGGAGAUGCCAGAGUGAUACUCAGCACUUAGCUUUGUGCUCCCCUGACCAUGAUGCCUGCUGGGAAGCUGACUGGCUGACUGGGAGGCUAACUGGCUGACUGGGAGGCUGACUGACUGGGUGGCUGAC